CACCGCGGUUAUACGAGAGGCCCAAGUUGACAGACUGCGGCGUAAAGCGUGGUUAAGACAGAUCAACAACCUAGACCACCUAUAAACCUAAAUAUAGGAUAUCUAAUUAAAACUAUAGCCGAAUGACCUCAAAGCAGUUAUACGCAUAUGAGACCACGAAGCCCCCUUACGAAAGUAGCUCUAACCUAAUCUGACUCCACGAAAGCUGAGAUA
RNAcentral lists this ribosomal RNA (213 nucleotides) under Arripis trutta (Australian salmon). Its description in RNAcentral is "partial 12S rRNA". The record is from RNAcentral. Lineage: Eukaryota; Metazoa; Chordata; Actinopteri; Scombriformes; Arripidae.